This 48-nucleotide non-coding RNA is filed under the name Schistosoma margrebowiei. Lineage: Eukaryota; Metazoa; Platyhelminthes; Trematoda; Strigeidida; Schistosomatidae. The record is from RNAcentral.
AUCUAACUGACGAGUCCCAAAUAGAACGAAACCCUCGUCAAACUGGAU